RNAcentral lists this transfer RNA (73 nucleotides) under Propionibacterium australiense. It matches the Rfam family "tRNA". From Rfam's summary of the family: Transfer RNA (tRNA) molecules are approximately 80 nucleotides in length. Their secondary structure includes four short double-helical elements and three loops (D, anti-codon, and T loops). Further hydrogen bonds mediate the characteristic L-shaped molecular structure. tRNAs have two regions of fundamental functional importance: the anti-codon, which is responsible for specific mRNA codon recognition, and the 3' end, to which the tRNAs corresponding amino acid is attached (by aminoacyl-tRNA synthetases). tRNAs cope with the degeneracy of the genetic code in two manners: having more than one tRNA (with a specific anti-codon) for a particular amino acid; and 'wobble' base-pairing, i.e. permitting non-standard base-pairing at the 3rd anti-codon position. Lineage: Bacteria; Bacillati; Actinomycetota; Actinomycetes; Propionibacteriales; Propionibacteriaceae. RNAcentral also lists the same sequence under 2 other names. The record is from Rfam by way of RNAcentral.
GCACCCAUAGCUUAAUGGAUAGAGCAUCUGACUACGGAUCAGAAGGUUGGGGGUUCGACUCCCUCUGGGUGCG